Molecule: ribosomal RNA, 305 nt
Filed under: uncultured bacterium
Lineage: Bacteria
Description: bacterial SSU rRNA
Rfam family: Bacterial small subunit ribosomal RNA
Source: RNAcentral
UGGAGCUUACGGGGGGCAGCAGUGGGGAAUCUUCCGCAAUGGGCGCAAGCCUGACGGAGCAAUGCCGCGUGAACGAAGAAGGUCUUCGGAUUGUAAAGUUCUGUCCUUAUCGAAGAGAGGGUAUAGAGUGAAAAAUGAUAUACUAGGACGGUAGAUGAGGAGGAAGCCCCGGCUAACUACGUGCCAGCAGCCGCGGUAAUACGUAGGGGGCGAGCGUUGUCCGGAAUGACUGGGUGUAAAGGGAGCGUAGACGGUUGUACAAGUCUGAUGUGAAAGCCCACGGCUCAACUGUGGGAGUGCAUUGG